Molecule: ribosomal RNA, 436 nt
Filed under: uncultured bacterium
Lineage: Bacteria
Description: bacterial SSU rRNA
Rfam family: Bacterial small subunit ribosomal RNA
Source: RNAcentral
UGACGAAGCGACGCUGCGUGUGGGAAGAAGGCCUUCGGGUUGUAAACCACUGUCGGGAGUUAGGAAAUGUAAGGGUGUUAAUAGCAUCCUUACUUGACUAAGGCUCCGGAGGAAGCCACGGCUAACUCUGUGCCAGCAGCCGCGGUAAUACAGAGGCGGCAAGCGUUGUUCGGAAUUAUUGGGCGUAAAGAGCACGUAGGCGGCCUUGCAAGUCAGUUGUGAAAGCCUUCUGCUUAACGGAAGAACAGCAGCUGAUACUGCAAGGCUAGAGUGCGGAAGGGGAGAGUGGAACUUCUGGUGGAGCGGUGAAAUGCGUAGAUAUCAGAAGGAACACCGGCGGCGAAGGCGACUCUCUGGUCCGUAACUGACGCUGAGUGUGCGAAAGCUAGGGGAGCAAACGGGAUUAGAUACCCCGGUAGUCCUAGCCGUAAACGAU